UCAGGAUGAACGCUGGCGGCGUGCCUAACACAUGCAAGUCGAGCGAUUACUUCGGUAAAGAGCGGCGGACGGGUGAGUAACGCGUGGGUAACCUGCCUCAUACACAUGGAUAACAUACCGAAAGGUAUGCUAAUACAGGAUAAUAUAAGAGAUUCACAUGGAUUUCUUAUCAAAGCUCCGGCGGUAUGAGAUGGACCCGCGUCUGAUUAGCUAGUUGGUAAGGUAAUGGCUUACCAAGGCGACGAUCAGUAGCCGACCUGAGAGGGUGAUCGGCCACAUUGGAACUGAGACACGGUCCAAACUCCUACGGGAGGCAGCAGUGGGGAAUAUUGCACAAUGGGCGAAAGCCUGAUGCCAGCAACGCCGCGUGAGUGAUGAAGGCCUUCGGGUCGUAAAACUCUGUCCUCAAGGAAGAUAAUGACGGUACUUGAGGAGGAAGCCCCGGCUAACUACGUGCCAGCAGCCGC
Molecule: ribosomal RNA, 467 nt
Filed under: uncultured bacterium
Lineage: Bacteria
Description: bacterial SSU rRNA
Rfam family: Bacterial small subunit ribosomal RNA
Source: RNAcentral